Molecule: ribosomal RNA, 298 nt
Filed under: Salmonella enterica subsp. enterica serovar Schwarzengrund
Lineage: Bacteria; Pseudomonadati; Pseudomonadota; Gammaproteobacteria; Enterobacterales; Enterobacteriaceae
Description: partial 23S ribosomal RNA
Rfam family: Bacterial large subunit ribosomal RNA
Source: RNAcentral
UAGCGGCGAGCGAACGGGGAGGAGCCCAGAGCCUGAAUCAGCAUGUGUGUUAGUGGAAGCGUCUGGAAAGGCGCGCGAUACAGGGUGACAGCCCCGUACACAAAAGCGCAUGUGCUGUGAGCUCGAUGAGUAGGGCGGGACACGUGGUAUCCUGUCUGAAUAUGGGGGGACCAUCCUCCAAGGCUAAAUACUCCUGACUGACCGAUAGUGAACCAGUACCGUGAGGGAAAGGCGAAAAGAACCCCGGCGAGGGGAGUGAAAAAGAACCUGAAACCGUGUACGUACAAGCAGUGGGAGC